This 425-nucleotide ribosomal RNA is filed under the name uncultured bacterium. RNAcentral's name for it is "partial 16S ribosomal RNA". It matches the Rfam family "Bacterial small subunit ribosomal RNA", at positions 354 to 796 of the family's 1533-position model. The record is from RNAcentral.
GUGGGGAAUAUUGGACAAUGGGCGAAAGCCUGAUCCAGCAAUGCCGCGUGAGUGAUGAAGGCCCUAGGGUUGUAAAGCUCUUUUACCAGGGAUGAUAAUGACAGUACCUGGAGAAUAAGCUCCGGCUAACUCCGUGCCAGCAGCCGCGGUAAUACGGAGGGAGCUAGCGUUGUUCGGAAUUACUGGGCGUAAAGCGCGCGUAGGCGGUUUUUUAAGUCAGAGGUGAACGCCCGGGGCUCAACCCCGGAAUUGCCUUUGAAACUGGAAAACUUGAAUCUUGGAGAGGUCAGUGGAAUUCCGAGUGUAGAGGUGAAAUUCGUAGAUAUUCGGAAGAACACCAGUGGCGAAGGCGACUGACUGGACAAGUAUUGACGCUGAGGUGCGAAAGCGUGGGGAGCAAACAGUAUUAGAAACCCCUGUAGUCC